This 630-nucleotide ribosomal RNA is filed under the name Triticum aestivum (bread wheat). Its description in RNAcentral is "partial small subunit ribosomal RNA". Lineage: Eukaryota; Viridiplantae; Streptophyta; Magnoliopsida; Poales; Poaceae. The record is from RNAcentral.
AUGAGAGCUGCCUGGGAUAUUGCGCAAGAAUCAAAGUUCAGACCUUUAGAGGAUAAUCUGUAUACUGUGCAAUUUACAUGCUUAGGUGAUUGGGAGUGGGUCAUGCAAGAUGGACCUUGGAACUUCCGAGGUGACGCGGUGACCCUAGUGCCAUAUGAUGGAGUCACCAAGCCGUCCCUGAUCAAGCUUGACUAUGUGGACAUCUGGGCUCAGAUACAUGAUGUGCCUGACCUCUAUGCGCAUCUAGUCGGCCCACUUGCUUCCAAGGUGGGAGAGGUACUGCAUGUGGAGCAGCCAUCACAUGAUUUCACGGGGAAUUUUUACCGCGUCUGGGUUCAUAUCAAGGUAGAUAAACCUCUCAAGAAUGCAGUUUCGAUGAUUAGAGAUGGCAAGCGCCAAAUCUACAGAGUUAAGUACGAGAGGUUGCCGGACUGGUGCGCGAUCUGUGGCAUGUUGGGACACCUUUUCAAGGAGCAUGGUGAUGGCAUACAUCAUCCCUCGGCGCUGGUUUUUAAAGAUCUGAGAGCUAGCUGGUACCUGCGAUCUGGAAAGGGACCUAGAGAAGGUAGAGGACGCCGGGGGGGGGGGUCGCCGUGGUGGCCGAUCUGGUGGUCGCACAAAGUCCUAUGA